Molecule: ribosomal RNA, 254 nt
Filed under: uncultured bacterium
Lineage: Bacteria
Description: partial 16S ribosomal RNA
Rfam family: Bacterial small subunit ribosomal RNA
Source: RNAcentral
UACGUAGGGACCAAGCGUUGUUCGGAUUUACUGGGCGUAAAGGGCGCGUAGGCGGCAAAUUAAGUCAUCUGUGAAAUCUCCGAGCUUAACUCGGAACGGUCAGGUGAUACUGAUCUGCUAGAGUGCGGAAGGGGCAAUCGGAAUUCUUGGUGUAGCGGUGAAAUGCGUAGAUAUCAAGAGGAACACCUGAGGUGAAGACGGGUUGCUGGGCCGACACUGACGCUGACAGCGCGAAAGCCAGGGGAACAAACGGG